GUUGCCGUGCCAAGAGUAGAACGGCCGGCCUGGAUGAACAGCCUGCCGGUACCAUCCAAUCCAGCUGCAGCGCCGCCUCGAGAUCCACGCCGCCAAGGUUCCCUCUCGGUGCGGCGGCUGCCGCCGGGUCCCAACCCCUACCCGGUCUUCGCCGCCUCGCGCCCUACGGCACCGGCGCCGACCCUGGCCGCCGCGGGUGAGGGCCCUUCCGGCUCCUCUGCGUCCUCCCCGGAGCCGUCGGCCGUGGCGUCUCCUCCAUCCCGCCCCAUCCAUGUCCUCCGUCUCCUCCCUCUCUACGGCCCCCAUUUGCCAGGGUUUGGCUCCCACCUCCCUCCGCCGCCGCCGCCGCCGUCGCCGGGCUUCGGCCCUCGGAGCUGGAGGGCAGCUCCAGCCAAGAGGCGAAAGAGGAGGAGGUGGCAAGUUCAAAUGGGGAGCAGGAGCGGAAUUUCAAGGACGGGGGUUGGUUCCUGCAAGUGCACAACGCAAAGAUUCUUGGCUUCUGCAAUUGUUAUCUCACAUUCUACUGAAGAGCAAUCUUCACGGACAGCUGCUGUGCAAGAGUAUCUGAUGGUGACAAACAUAUAUGACCUCGCUGCAAGGCAAGUUACUUCUCUUGUGCUGGAGAACAGAUGAAGAUCACUUGGUCCAUUGCUCUCAGCAAGGGAUACAUGCUAUCAGGAGGCAUACAUACAGAUCUAUCAAGCCUAGUUCAACUCAUCAUUUAGAGGAGGUCCGGAUGAAGGCAAUACGUUUGGUAAUUGCAAUUCUAAGAAGUCUGCACUUACAUACUACAUGUAUCAUUUAUGCACACAAACAGUACAUUAGCACAAUGGACAUGGAACAAGAGCACUAGCUAGAUGCUGCUCUGCUCUGAUCAUGUGCUACAUAUGCGUGCACGGUCACUGCAUCAGCAGUCAGUGGGUUCUGCUGCUCUGGAUGCACGCAGAAUCUUGCAUUGCUUCAUAGUCACCACGUCUAUCUGACGGCAUGCAAUGCAUGGCCUGUAUGACUGUAUACACUGCUGGCACAGGGCGAUAAUUUUUUUUGAUAAUGCAUGGCCUGUAUGGCUGUAUACCAUCUC
Panicum virgatum (switchgrass) is the source of this 1081-nucleotide RNA transcript. It is a transcript of the gene named atherin-like, with no coding region annotated. The record is from RefSeq and is a predicted model, not a curated record. The transcript is spliced from 5 exons. NCBI's taxonomy places the organism in Eukaryota, Viridiplantae, Streptophyta, Magnoliopsida, Poales, Poaceae.